Molecule: long non-coding RNA, 389 nt
Organism: Gasterosteus aculeatus aculeatus (three-spined stickleback)
Lineage: Eukaryota; Metazoa; Chordata; Actinopteri; Perciformes; Gasterosteidae
Source: Ensembl
CACUUUUGUGAGGGUCAAACUGCAGCCCCCCACUUGAAAGGGCAGCUUGCUAAGAAGUGUAGACUGGAUUCCACUCAAUGACCAAGAUUCGGACUUCCUUGCUUUCUUGCUUUUAUUUUUAAAAUUGUCCAAGUCAAACCAGGUGAAAAACCUUGAAAUACAAACAUGAAUAUAAGGUCAAAGAAAUAUAACCCAAGAAACCAUAAUCAAUUCACAUACCCAACAUCACAUACUUAAUUUAUAAUCUACUGGAAAUUAACCCCAAAAUAAGUAGAAAGACAACCCAAAUUUAAAGUAUCCCAAUACUAAAUUAAAUACAUUUUUAAAACACUAUUUAAUGAUGAUUUUAACCUUUAAACUUCACCAGAUUUUAACUCCGCUGAAUACAC